GAUGAACGCUAGCGGGAGGCUUAACACAUGCAAGUCGAGGGGCAGCAUAGGGUAGCAAUACUCUGAUGGCGACCGGCAAACGGGUGAGUAACGCGUAUGCAACCUACCCUGUACAGGGGGAUAACCCGGAGAAAUUCGGACUAAUAUCCCGUAAUAAUAUCCGGAGGCAUCUUUGGAUAUUUAAAGUUCCGACGGUACGGGAUGGGCAUGCGUAACAUUAGCUGGUUGGUAAGGUAACGGCUUACCAAGGCUAUGAUGUUUAGGGGUCCUGAGAGGGUGGUCCCCCACACUGGUACUGAGACACGGACCAGACUCCUACGGGAGGCAGCAGUGAGGAAUAUUGCACAAUGGACGGAAGUCUGAUGCAGCAACGCCGCGUGGAGGAUGACACAUUUUCGGUGCGUAAAACUCCUUUUAUAUGAGAAGAUAAUGACGGUAUCAUAUGAAUAAGCACCGGCUAACUCCGUGCCAGCAGCCGCGGUAAUACGCACUCGU
RNAcentral lists this ribosomal RNA (495 nucleotides) under uncultured bacterium. RNAcentral describes it as "bacterial SSU rRNA". It matches the Rfam family "Bacterial small subunit ribosomal RNA", at positions 28 to 533 of the family's 1533-position model. The record is from RNAcentral.